Molecule: microRNA, 23 nt
Filed under: Strongyloides ratti
Lineage: Eukaryota; Metazoa; Nematoda; Chromadorea; Rhabditida; Strongyloididae
Description: str-miR-360-3p
Gene: str-miR-360-3p
Source: miRBase by way of RNAcentral
AUGUCGGAUACAAUGAGCACAAA